UACGGGGGGAGCAAGCGUUGUUCGGAUUUGCUGGGCGUAAAGGGCGCGUAGGCGGCCACCGCAAGUCGACUGUGAAAUCUCCGGGCUUAACCCGGAAAGGUCAGCCGAUACUGCGGGGCUAGAGUGCAGAAGGGGCAACUGGAAUUCUCGGUGUAGCGGUGAAAUGCGUAGAUAUCGAGAGGAACACCUGCGGCGAAGGCGGGUUGCUGGGCUGACACUGACGCUGAGGCGCGAAAGCUAGGGGAGCGAACGGG
Molecule: ribosomal RNA, 254 nt
Filed under: uncultured bacterium
Lineage: Bacteria
Description: partial 16S ribosomal RNA
Rfam family: Bacterial small subunit ribosomal RNA
Source: RNAcentral